GGCUCUGGAGAAGCCCUGCAGCCGGCAGGGGGCCGAAGGUGCAAUGGAUUUUGAAGGUAUCCAGAAACUCUCAGGCAAAAGGACAGAGGAA
RNAcentral lists this non-coding RNA (91 nucleotides) under bovine gut metagenome. RNAcentral describes it as "Glycine riboswitch". It matches the Rfam family "Glycine riboswitch aptamer", at positions 9 to 86 of the family's 94-position model. From Rfam's summary of the family: This family represents the bacterial glycine riboswitch. The record is from RNAcentral.